This 406-nucleotide ribosomal RNA is filed under the name bacterium. Its description in RNAcentral is "partial 16S ribosomal RNA". It matches the Rfam family "Bacterial small subunit ribosomal RNA", at positions 355 to 776 of the family's 1533-position model. The record is from RNAcentral.
UAAGGAAUAUUGCGCAAUGGGGGGAAACCCUGACGCAGCAACGCCGCGUGGAGGAUGACACUUUUCGGAGCGUAAACUCCUUUUAUCAGGAAAGAAUAAUGACGGUACCUGAUGAAUAAGCACCGGCUAACUCCGUGCCAGCAGCCGCGGUAAUACGGGGGGUGCAAGCGUUACUCGGAAUCACUGGGCGUAAAGGACGCGUAGGCGGAUUAUCAAGUCUUUUGUGAAAUCUAGUGGCUUAACCACUAAACUGCUUAGGAAACUGAUAGUCUAGAGUAGGGGAGAGGUAGAUGGAAUUCUUGGUGUAGGGGUAAAAUCCGUAGAGAUCAAGAAGAAUACCCAUUGCGAAAGCGAUCUGCUGGAACCUAACUGACGCUGAGGCGUGAAAGCGUGGGUAGCAAACAGG